This 468-nucleotide ribosomal RNA is filed under the name uncultured bacterium. Its description in RNAcentral is "partial 16S ribosomal RNA". It matches the Rfam family "Bacterial small subunit ribosomal RNA", at positions 28 to 507 of the family's 1533-position model. The record is from RNAcentral.
GACGAACGCUGGCGGCGUGCUUAACACAUGCAAGUCGAACGGAAAGACCCUGCUUUUGUGGGGUGCUCGAGUGGCGAACGGGUGAGUAACACGUGAGUAACCUGCCCUUGACUUUGGGAUAACUUCAGGAAACUGGGGCUAAUACCGGAUAGGAGCUCCUGCUGCAUGGUGGGGGUUGGAAAGUUUCGGCGGUUGGGGAUGGACUCGCGGCUUAUCAGCUUGUUGGUGGGGUAGUGGCUUACCAAGGCUUUGACGGGUAGCCGGCCUGAGAGGGUGACCGGCCACAUUGGGACUGAGAGACGGCCCAGACUCCUACGUGGGGCAGCAGUGGGGAAUAUUGCACAAUGGGCGGAAGCCUGAUGCAGCAACGCCGCGUGCGGGAUGACGGCCUUCGGGUUGUAAACCGCUUUCGCUUGUGACGAAGCGUGAGUGACGGUAAUGGGUAAAGAAGCACCGGCUAACUACGUG